This 269-nucleotide ribosomal RNA is filed under the name uncultured bacterium. Its description in RNAcentral is "partial 16S ribosomal RNA". It matches the Rfam family "Bacterial small subunit ribosomal RNA", at positions 524 to 788 of the family's 1533-position model. The record is from RNAcentral.
UACGUAGGGGGCAAGCGUUGUCCGGAUUUAUUGGGCGUAAAGAGCGUGUAGGCGGCCGUACAGGUCAGCUGUGAAAACUCGAGGCUCAACCUCGAGACGUCGGUUGAAACCGUACGGCUAGAGUCCGGAAGAGGAGAGUGGAAUUCCCGGUGUAGCGGUGAAAUGCGCAGAUAUCGGGAAGAACACCCGUGGCGAAGGCGGCUCUCUGGGACGGUACUGACGCUGAGACGGCGAAAAGCGUUGGGGAGCAAACAGGGAUUAGAAAACCC